This 446-nucleotide ribosomal RNA is filed under the name uncultured bacterium. Its description in RNAcentral is "partial 16S ribosomal RNA". It matches the Rfam family "Bacterial small subunit ribosomal RNA", at positions 338 to 795 of the family's 1533-position model. The record is from RNAcentral.
CCUACGGGUGGCAGCAGUCGAGAAUCAUUCACAAUGGGGGAAACCCUGAUGGUGCGACGCCGCGUGGGGGAAUGAAGGUCUUAGGAGUGUAAACCCCUGUCAGGUGGGAGCAAAUUAAAAAGAUAGUACCACAAGAGGAAGAGACGGCUAACUCUGUGCCAGCAGCCGCGGUAAUACAGAGGUCUCAAGCGUUGUGCGGAAUCACUGGGCGUAAAGCGUGCGUAGGCUGUUUCGUAAGUCGUGUGUGAAAGGCGCGGACUCAACCCGCGGACGGCACAUGAUACUGCGAGACUAGAGUAAUGGAGGGGGAACCGGAAUUCUCGGUGUAGCAGUGAAAUGCGUAGAUAUCGAGAGGAACACUCGUGGCGAAGGCGGGUUCCUGGACAUUAACUGACGCUGAGGCACGAAGGCCAGGGGAGCGAAAGGGAUUAGAUACCCCAGUAGUC